Molecule: ribosomal RNA, 253 nt
Filed under: uncultured bacterium
Lineage: Bacteria
Description: partial 16S ribosomal RNA
Rfam family: Bacterial small subunit ribosomal RNA
Source: RNAcentral
UACAGAGGUCCCAAGCGUUGUUCGGAUUUACUGGGCGUAAAGGGAGCGUAGGUGGCAUUCUAAGUCUGAUGUGAAAGCUCUGAGCUUAACUCAGAAAUGGCAUUAGAUACUAGUUUGCUUGAGGAUUGGAGGGGAGACUGGAAUUCUCGGUGUAGCAGUGAAAUGCGUAGAUAUCGAGAGGAACACCAGUGGCGAAGGCGAGUCUCUGGACAAUUCCUGACACUGAUGCUCGAAAGCUAGGGGAGCAAACGGG